RNAcentral lists this long non-coding RNA (2482 nucleotides) under Salvia miltiorrhiza (redroot sage). RNAcentral's name for it is "long non-coding RNA (SMIL_LNC006635)". The record is from RNAcentral. Lineage: Eukaryota; Viridiplantae; Streptophyta; Magnoliopsida; Lamiales; Lamiaceae.
GUAGUAUGUGUGAGAAGGGGAAGAAGUUUCUACCUAGAUAGUCCUUGAUCUUGAGGAGUAGAAACAUGAGUAUCCAAUAAACCAGUACUACUCUCAAAUUUGUGAUCGUCUUGGACAUUCAGCACUGAAACACAAAAUAGAUGCAUACUAGUGUAAACAAUUGCAACUAAAACUUUCAAAGAUAUAAUGAUCCAAGUAUACCUUGGAGUUGGGCUCAAAUUUUUACUACAAUUUUCCUAGAACUGUAAGAGAUGUUGAGGGCACGGUAGUAGGCCUGACUUCAAGGCUAGAGCCACAACUUCCUCUGCUCUACUGUUCCCUACCAUCAUUUUAAGCCACUCGACAAGAUUAACCUGCCACAGACACAAUUAUUGAUAUUGUUACUCGAAGGGGGUGGCCAGCUUCCCGGUCACUCUGUCUGGAGUGGCAUACAUCCCGAUUUACUAAGAAUUUACUAGCUAUGCUUAUCGAAUAUAAGUAAUUAAAUUAGCACCUCAUUGGCUNAAGGUGGAGAGAAUGCAGUCUGUGUCUGCUCCAACAGCAGGCACAAAAGAUUUACUGGCACCACCGAAUAGAGAACCUCUUGUGAAUUAUUCGCAGAUGGAUUACUGGUUGAUGAACUGAGUCCAGAAGUCAUAUUUCCAUAACUUGAUAGCCCGAAUGAUACAAAAUUGGUAGUAGUUCUUCCGGAACUUAGAUUAGCAAAAACAUCCAGCAAGCUGCACAUGUAGUAAACGGAAUUUAGAUUGUAUUCUCAUAGAAAUCAAUGUCAUCAACAAUGAGUAAAAGAACAGAACUUGCAAACAGUUGGAAAUCAUUUUCUAGUCUGUAUGCAUAGAACUAACCUGCUAGAGUUUUCUUGUAUACCGGGUCCGGUGCUUGAUUUGGGCAUCAAGGAAGGGAACUUAUCUACAAUAUGAAACACUUUGAAUGAACUAGAAGGAUUCCAAAUACUGAGCUGAAUAAAAUAUAAUUAUAUACACACAUAAAAGUUCAAUCUCCUUACCUACAGAGCACUCAUUCUAAAUGCUGCUCUGUUUUGAGGUUGAGACAAACCAUUUUCGACAUCAUCUGAAGUUCGAUCUCUCACCAAAACAGCUUCAAAGGACACUGCAGAGUCACUGUUAUUUACAGGGUAGUAUGUAUGAGUAUCCAAUAAACCAGUACUACUCUCAAAUUUUUGAUCGUCUUGGACAUUCAGCACUGAAACACAAAAUAGAUGCAUACUAGUGUAAACAAUUGCAACUAAAACUUUCAAAGAUAUAAUGAUCCAAGUAUACCUUGGAGUUGGGCUCAAAUUUUUCACAAUUUUCCAGAACUGUAAGAGAUGUUGAGGGCACGGGUAGUAGGCCUGACUUCAAGGCUAGAGCCCACAACUUCCUCUGCUCUACUGUUCCCUACCAUCAUUUUAAGCCACUCGACAAGAUUAACCUGCCACAGACACAAUUAUUGAUAUUGUUACUCGAAGGGGGUGGCCAGCUUCCCGGUCACUCUGUCUGGAGUGGCAUACAUCCCGAUUUACUAAGAAUUUACUAGCUAUGCUUAUCGUAUAUAAGUAAUUAAAUUAGCACCUCAUUGGCUGGACGUGUGUAAUCUACUGGAUCUCUUCCGGUGACAGCUUCAAGAAGUAGAACACCAAAACUGUAUAUGUCGCUUUUUUCAUUCAGCAAGUCAGUAUUUGCAUAUUCAGGAGCCACGUAACUGAAAUUAACAAAAGCACCUGAUUAUUAUGAGGGAAAACUACAAUAAAAAAAAUAUCAGAAAUUCAAAAGGCAAAUAUACCCAAAAGUUCUCAUCAGUCAUCACCCUUGUUGUUAUAUGGCUUUCCCCAGAUUCCAGCAGCUCAGCCAAACCAAAACCGUACCAAUUCUCUGAAAUUUACCAAACCCAAAACAAGAAUAAUAAGCGCAAUAAAUUCUAAGAUGGAUGUAAGAGCAAAUAAACUUAUAUUGUGCAAGUUAUCUUUGAUUGUGGAGUGCGAACCAUGAUAUAAAUGAUUUUGCAAGCUGGAAUACUCAUGCUCAUUAGGAGAACUCUAAUGUUGUAAUUUGACAACAAUAAGAACUGAAAGGCGCAAUUUUCAGUAGGAAAGAAAGACUACUAGUGCCAUCCCAUAGAACUAGACCUUGUUCAUUAUUGGUUAAUGAAGAACCUUGCAAAUGACCAUUCCUACUUUCUUCACCGCCUGGUUACUAACUAAAUAAUUAAGAAAAUAGACACUCUACCAAUUCACAACUCAAAAUCACCAACAAGAGUUAAUUUAAAAUCCGAGCAAAUAAAUCCUGUUUUAUGACUUCAAUUUUUCAAACAACACGAAAUAAAUAAUUUCACAUCCACAUUAACACAUAGAAAGCAGAUCAACGCUCGGAGAAACUUACAACAAAAGCCACCAAAAAAAAACUUAACAAACAUCAAUUUCCACACUCAAAGCGCCCCAAAUUACCAUAAAGAAGAAGAGCCUCCGAUUCGGAAAUCGAGAGUG